This 523-nucleotide ribosomal RNA is filed under the name Prevotella sp. oral clone BP1-15. Its description in RNAcentral is "bacterial SSU rRNA". It matches the Rfam family "Bacterial small subunit ribosomal RNA", at positions 13 to 521 of the family's 1533-position model. Lineage: Bacteria; Pseudomonadati; Bacteroidota; Bacteroidia; Bacteroidales; Prevotellaceae. The record is from RNAcentral.
UUGAUCCUGGCUCAGGAUGAACGCUAGCUAUAGGCUUAACACAUGCAAGUCGAGGGGAAACGGCAUUAUGUGCUUGCACAUUCUGGACGUCGACCGGCGCACGGGUGAGUAUCGCGUAUCCAACCUUCCCUCCACUCGGGGAUACCCCGUUGAAAGACGGCCUAAUACCCGAUGUUGUCCACAUAUGGCAUCUGACGUGGACCAAAGAUUCAUCGGUGGAGGAUGGGGAUGCGUCUGAUUAGCUUGUUGGUGCGGGUAACGGCCCACCAAGGCGACGAUCAGUAGGGGUUCUGAGAGGAAGGUCCCCCACAUUGGAACUGAGACACGGUCCAAACUCCUACGGGAGGCAGCAGUGAGGAAUAUUGGUCAAUGGACGGAAGUCUGAACCAGCCAAGUAGCGUGCAGGAUUGACGGCCCUAUGGGUUGUAAACUGCUUUUGUUGGGGAGUAAAGUGAGGCACGCGUGCCUUUUUGCAUUUACCCUUCGAAUAAGGACCGGCUAAUUCCGUGCCAGCAGCCGCGGU